RNAcentral lists this long non-coding RNA (224 nucleotides) under Nicotiana benthamiana. RNAcentral describes it as "long non-coding RNA (NBEN_LNC016185)". The record is from RNAcentral. Lineage: Eukaryota; Viridiplantae; Streptophyta; Magnoliopsida; Solanales; Solanaceae.
UCAGUCAAGCAAGACUACAAAUCGGUGAUCACAGAGCAUCGAUGCGGGAGAGCUUGGAAAAAUUAGUGCUUUUUAGAGAUUGGAUCCGCGCAGAAAGAAGGAAAUUUGGCAUAGCAGAAUCACAACCAGCAAUAAAUGAGGCAUAUGAAGAAAUGAUAGCAGAACUUGCUGAGGAAGCGACUUCACCCGGAAGUGGUGAUGAACAAGCUUCAUUUCCACCACCG